RNAcentral lists this ribosomal RNA (468 nucleotides) under uncultured bacterium. RNAcentral describes it as "partial 16S ribosomal RNA". It matches the Rfam family "Bacterial small subunit ribosomal RNA", at positions 28 to 507 of the family's 1533-position model. The record is from RNAcentral.
GACGAACGCUGGCGGCGUGCUUAACACAUGCAAGUCGAACGGAAAGGCCCUGCGUUUGUGGGGUGCUCGAGUGGCGAACGGGUGAGUAACACGUGAGUAACCUGCCCUUGACUUUGGGAUAACUUCAGGUAACUGGGGCUAAUACCGGAUAGGAGCUCCUGCUGCAUGGUGGGGGUUGGAAAGUUUCGGCGGUUGUGGAUGGACUCGCGGCUUAUCAGCUUGUUGGUGGGGUAGUGGCUGACCAAGGCUUUGACGGGUAGCCGGCCUGGGAGGGUGACCGGCCACAUUGGGCCUGCGAUACGGCGCAGACUCCUACGUGAGGCAGCAGUGGGGAAUAUUGCACAAUGGGCGGACGCCUGUUGCAGCAACGCCGCGUUCGGGAUGACGGCCUGCGGGUUGUGAACCGCUUUCGCCUGUGACGAAGCGUGAGUGACGGUAAUGGGUAAAGAAGCACCGGCUAACUACGUG